Molecule: long non-coding RNA, 660 nt
Filed under: Brachypodium distachyon (stiff brome)
Lineage: Eukaryota; Viridiplantae; Streptophyta; Magnoliopsida; Poales; Poaceae
Description: long non-coding RNA (BDIS_LNC004970)
Source: RNAcentral
AAACCUAUUUUAUGUAUUACUUAUAAAGCCCUAAUGACAUUUAUAUAAGCAAAAGUAUUUUUACUUAUUUUAUUUUGAAAGGAUUCAAGUCCCAAAAGUUCACACUUUGGAGGAUUUGAAUUUACAAAUUUUCUGGAGUUUAUUUGGACUUAUUUGGAGUUAGGAAUCAAAAGUUAUUAAUAAAAACAGAAAUGGAAAAAAAAAGGAAAAAAAAAAGAGAAUGGACCGACCCAACUGGGCCGGCCCAUCUCCACCGAGCGCCCAGCCAGCGAGCACGAGCUCGUGCGGUCUUCCUCUUCUGCACAUAAGGAAUCCAUUGUUUCCAUAUUUUCUUUCUUCGAUUUAUUUCCUUCCCGCGCGUCUCUCUUCAAAAGGAAACCAUCCCAUCAAUCCUCACCAUCCCGAGAAUCCAUUCAGGAAACCAAUUUGAAGUUUUCUCUCAUAAUCGCAGUUUCCAAAAGAGGUGCCCGAAUGCCGGCCAUCGACAUCCCGUGUCUGAUCUCUAUACUCGGCCACUAUAAAAGGAUUCCACGCACGUCACUUUGAGACUUUGCCUCUCCUCUCCCACUUCUAUGUAGAAAGUUUGCCCUCAAAACCUCUGAACAGCCGGCUACGUCGACGUCUUCCUCCGCCGGGUCACCGCCACCAUUGUUGCCAGUG